GGUGAGGUGAUAUGAACCGUUAUAACCGGCGAUUUCCGAAUGGGGAAACCCAGUGUGUUUCGACACACUAUCAUUAACUGAAUCCAUAGGUUAAUGAGGCGAACCGGGGGAACUGAAACAUCUAAGUACCCCGAGGAAAAGAAAUCAACCGAGAUUCCCCCAGUAGCGGCGAGCGAACGGGGAGGAGCCCAGAGCCUGAAUCAGUGUGUGUGUUAGUGGAAGCGUCUGGAAAGGCGCGCGAUACAGGGUGACAGCCCCGUACACAAAAAUGCACAUACUGUGAGCUCGAUGAGUAGGGCGGGACACGUGGUAUCCUGUCUGAAUAUGGGGGGACCAUCCUCCAAGGCUAAAUACUCCUGACUGACCGAUAGUGAACCAGUACCGUGAGGGAAAGGCGAAAAGAACCCCGGCGAGGGGAGUGAAAAAGAACCUGAAACCGUGUACGUACAAGCAGUGGGAGCCUCUUAAUGGGGUGACUGCGUACCUUUUGUAUAAUGGGUCAGCGACUUAUAUUCUGUAGCAAGGUUAACCGAAUAGGGGAGCCGAAGGGAAACCGAGUCUUAACUGGGCGUUAAGUUGCAGGGUAUAGACCCGAAACCCGGUGAUCUAGCCAUGGGCAGGUUGAAGGUUGGGUAACACUAACUGGAGGACCGAACCGACUAAUGUUGAAAAAUUAGCGGAUGACUUGUGGCUGGGGGUGAAAGGCCAAUCAAACCGGGAGAUAGCUGGUUCUCCCCGAAAGCUAUUUAGGUAGCGCCUCGUGAAUUCAUCUCCGGGGGUAGAGCACUGUUUCGGCAAGGGGGUCAUCCCGACUUACCAACCCGAUGCAAACUGCGAAUACCGGAGAAUGUUAUCACGGGAGACACACGGCGGGUGCUAACGUCCGUCGUGAAGAGGGAAACAACCCAGACCGCCAGCUAAGGUCCCAAAGUCAUGGUUAAGUGGGAAACGAUGUGGGAAGGCCCAGACAGCCAGGAUGUUGGCUUAGAAGCAGCCAUCAUUUAAAGAAAGCGUAAUAGCUCACUGGUCGAGUCGGCCUGCGCGGAAGAUGUAACGGGGCUAAACCAUGCACCGAAGCUGCGGCAGCGACACUAUGUGUUGUUGGGUAGGGGAGCGUUCUGUAAGCCUGUGAAGGUGUACUGUGAGGUAUGCUGGAGGUAUCAGAAGUGCGAAUGCUGACAUAAGUAACGAUAAAGCGGGUGAAAAGCCCGCUCGCCGGAAGACCAAGGGUUCCUGUCCAACGUUAAUCGGGGCAGGGUGAGUCGACCCCUAAGGCGAGGCCGAAAGGCGUAGUCGAUGGGAAACAGGUUAAUAUUCCUGUACUUGGUGUUACUGCGAAGGGGGGACGGAGAAGGCUAUGUUGGCCGGGCGACGGUUGUCCCGGUUUAAGCGUGUAGGCUGGUUUUCCAGGCAAAUCCGGAAAAUCAAGGCUGAGGCGUGAUGACGAGGCACUACGGUGCUGAAGCGACAAAUGCCCUGCUUCCAGGAAAAGCCUCUAAGCAUCAGGUAACAUCAAAUCGUACCCCAAACCGACACAGGUGGUCAGGUAGAGAAUACCAAGGCGCUUGAGAGAACUCGGGUGAAGGAACUAGGCAAAAUGGUGCCGUAACUUCGGGAGAAGGCACGCUGAUAUGUAGGUGAAGCGACUUGCUCGUGGAGCUGAAAUCAGUCGAAGAUACCAGCUGGCUGCAACUGUUUAUUAAAAACACAGCACUGUGCAAACACGAAAGUGGACGUAUACGGUGUGACGCCUGCCCGGUGCCGGAAGGUUAAUUGAUGGGGUUAGCGGUAACGCGAAGCUCUUGAUCGAAGCCCCGGUAAACGGCGGCCGUAACUAUAACGGUCCUAAGGUAGCGAAAUUCCUUGUCGGGUAAGUUCCGACCUGCACGAAUGGCGUAAUGAUGGCCAGGCUGUCUCCACCCGAGACUCAGUGAAAUUGAACUCGCUGUGAAGAUGCAGUGUACCCGCGGCAAGACGGAAAGACCCCGUGAACCUUUACUAUAGCUUGACACUGAACAUUGAGCCUUGAUGUGUAGGAUAGGUGGGAGGCUUUGAAGUGUGGACGCCAGUCUGCAUGGAGCCGACCUUGAAAUACCACCCUUUAAUGUUUGAUGUUCUAACGUGGGCCCCUUACCGGGGUUGCGGACAGUGUCUGGUGGGUAGUUUGACUGGGGCGGUCUCCUCCUAAAGAGUAACGGAGGAGCACGAAGGUUGGCUAAUCCUGGUCGGACAUCAGGAGGUUAGUGCAAUGGCAUAAGCCAGCUUGACUGCGAGCGUGACGGCGCGAGCAGGUGCGAAAGCAGGUCAUAGUGAUCCGGUGGUUCUGAAUGGAAGGGCCAUCGCUCAACGGAUAAAAGGUACUCCGGGGAUAACAGGCUGAUACCGCCCAAGAGUUCAUAUCGACGGCGGUGUUUGGCACCUCGAUGUCGGCUCAUCACAUCCUGGGGCUGAAGUAGGUCCCAAGGGUAUGGCUGUUCGCCAUUUAAAGUGGUACGCGAGCUGGGUUUAGAACGUCGUGAGACAGUUCGGUCCCUAUCUGCCGUGGGCGCUGGAGAACUGAGGGGGGCUGCUCCUAGUACGAGAGGACCGGAGUGGACGCAUCACUGGUGUUCGGGUUGUCAUGCCAAUGGCACUGCCCGGUAGCUAAAUGCGGAAGAGAUAAGUGCUGAAAGCAUCUAAGCACGAAACUUGCCCCGAGAUGAGUUCUCCCUGACUCCUUGAGAGUCCUGAAGGAACGUUGAAGACGACGACGUUGAUAGGCCGGGUGUGUAAGCGCAGCGAUGCGUUGAGCUAACCGGUACUAAUGAACCGUGAGGCUUAACCUUACAACGCCGAAG
This 2837-nucleotide ribosomal RNA is filed under the name Escherichia coli. RNAcentral describes it as "partial 23S ribosomal RNA". It matches the Rfam family "Bacterial large subunit ribosomal RNA". The record is from RNAcentral. Lineage: Bacteria; Pseudomonadati; Pseudomonadota; Gammaproteobacteria; Enterobacterales; Enterobacteriaceae.